RNAcentral lists this ribosomal RNA (253 nucleotides) under uncultured bacterium. RNAcentral's name for it is "partial 16S ribosomal RNA". It matches the Rfam family "Bacterial small subunit ribosomal RNA", at positions 524 to 776 of the family's 1533-position model. The record is from RNAcentral.
UACGUAGGGUGCGAGCGUUAAUCGGAAUUACUGGGCGUAAAGCGUGCGCAGGCGGUUUUGUAAGUCUGUGGUGAAAUCCCCGGGCUCAACCUGGGAACUGCCUUUGUGACUGCAAGGCUUGAGUGCGGCAGAGGGGGAUGGAAUUCCGCGUGUAGCAGUGAAAUGCGUAGAUAUGCGGAGGAACACCGAUGGCGAAGGCAAGCCCCUGGGCCUGCACUGACGCUCAUGCACGAAAGCGUGGGGAGCAAACAGG